CUUUCUGUCUAUAAAAACGUAAGUUUGAAACUACUGGUCACCAUUGUUCAAAACCCAGUUCAGGAGAGUCCAGAGUCCAGUCUUGUGACGUCAUGAAACUGUUACUCCUCUUCGUUCUUGUGUGUCUGGUGGCGCCCUCUGUUGGGUGGAGAGUCCGCUGGGGACGGGUGGCUACAGCAGCAGCUGUUGCAUGGAUUGGGAAAAGAGGCAUUGAGAAUUUCGACCUCAACAAGGACGGGUAUGUUGAUCAGUCAGAAGCCGAGAAACAACUGAGCACCAGAGAUGCUGAAACCCUCAUGAAGAUGGCUAAUGAAGAGGUAGAUGGCAAGUCGGCUGUAUCUGUGAAUGAGUUUACACGCUAUCUUCAGGAUAUCUAGAACGAUCCCAGUAGAGACGUACGAAAAUCCUAUUCACCGAAUUACGGAUCACUGAGUAAAGUAUUUUUCAUGCAUGAAUAAAAUCUGCAAAUAA
Haliotis rufescens (red abalone) is the source of this 471-nucleotide long non-coding RNA. RefSeq lists it as uncharacterized. The record is from RefSeq and is a predicted model, not a curated record. NCBI's taxonomy places the organism in Eukaryota, Metazoa, Mollusca, Gastropoda, Lepetellida, Haliotidae. The transcript has 5 exons.